Molecule: unclassified non-coding RNA, 68 nt
Filed under: Phocaeicola vulgatus
Lineage: Bacteria; Pseudomonadati; Bacteroidota; Bacteroidia; Bacteroidales; Bacteroidaceae
Also listed under: 1 other name
Description: Bacteroides vulgatus Flavo-1 RNA
Source: RNAcentral
AUGCGUUAGGGAUUGCAGCGGAAAGCCCACAGCGUAGCGAGGACUUGCAGCGAAAAGCCCGACCUGAA